UCCGGUUUGUCACCGGCAGUCACAUUAGAGUGCCCAACUAAAUGUAGCAACUAAUGACAAGGGUUGCGCUCGUUGCGGGACUUAACCCAACAUCUCACAACACGAGCUGACGACAGCCAUGCAGCACCUGUCACUCAUCCAGCCGAACCGAAGGAAACCAUCUCUGGAACCCGCGAUGAGGAUGUCAAACGCUGGUAAGGUUCUGCGCGUUGCUUCGAAUUAAACCACAUGCUCCACCGCUUGUGCAGGCCCCCGUCAAUUCCUUUGAGUUUCAGUCUUGCGACCGUACUCCCCAGGCGGCGAACUUAACGCGUUAGCUUCGACACUGAGAGCCUAAUUGCUCCCAACGUCCAGUUCGCAUCGUUUAGGGCGUGGACUAC
This 380-nucleotide unclassified non-coding RNA is filed under the name uncultured Pseudomonadota bacterium. RNAcentral's name for it is "uncultured proteobacterium contains 16S-23S intergenic spacer region". Lineage: Bacteria; Pseudomonadati; Pseudomonadota. The record is from RNAcentral.